GCGGCCCCGCCAGGCUCCCCCCGCCCCGCCCCGCACGCACCGCGGCCCCGGCCCCGCGGCCUCUCCCCGUCCCGUCCCGCACGCACCGCGGCCCCGGCCCCACGCCCCCGCCGGCCUCUCCCCGUCCCGUCCCGCACGCACCGCGGCCCCGGCCCCACCGGCCUCUCCCGCCCCGCCCCGCACGCACCGCGGCCCCGGCCCCACGCCCCCGCCAGCCUCUCCCCGUCCCGCACGCACCGCGGCCCCGGCCCCACGCCCCCGCCGGCCUCUCCCGCCCCGCCCCGCACGCACCGCGGCCCCGGCCCCACGCCCCCGCCAGCCUCUCCCCGUCCCGUCCGCACCGCGGCCCCGGCCCCACGCCCCCGCCGGGCUCCCCCCGCGUCCGCCGAGGCCCGCAGCUUGGGCUCCCCGCGGUUGCGGGGGGAGUUGGGGCGAGGCCGGAGCCCGCCCCGGCGCUGCUGCCUCACGCUGCUUAGGUCGAGGCGCAGAGGCAGCCGCGGGGUGAAAGUGCCGCAGGGGGGAGCAGGGAGGAGCAGGGGGCACGGUGCGGCAGGAGCGCGCUGCCAAGGCGAGGGCGGCAGCACGGCAGCAGCCUCGAGAAAGCAAAAGGGCCGUGGGCACUGGGACUGAGCAAAGGUCGCGUACCCCAAAGCAACGAGACAGCUGGUCCGCGUCUGCAAAACCAGCUCAAGGCAUACUAAUGCUGGCUGAAGGAAGGAUGGGAAUGAACCAACUGAACGUACACCUGGCGAGGAACACCUCUGUAAAAUCAUCUGAGAGCCCGACUCUGCUCUUGCAGGCAGGAGAACUCCGGCCAAGGCUCUUCUCCGUGGAGCAGAGAUCGGCACAAACGAGUUAACACCAGUCAAUCCAGAAAGAUUUUUGGUAUAGCAGCAGCUCCCCUUUUCCCUGGGCAGGAACCCAGCACUGAGGCCUGCAGAAAACACCUAGUCCCAAAUGUUACAGCAAUUACAGUCAAUCGAAAUCCUGAAGCUUUCUGUGCUGAACCAGGCUGCAGAAAACACUUUAACAAUUAAUAUAGUACAAAGUUACCGAGGAGGAAAACAAAAGAUGAACCAACGCUGUGUUUCAGGCUCUGAGGUACAGGAAUGAUCAGUCUCCAGACCCUGGAUGCAACCAGAGCUAAAAACAAAUAACAGAAAUCCAACCUGUGUGAUUGAACACCAGUACAGUGGAAGACAUCUCGUGUAUCAUCCCUAAGAGCCGGCUGCUCCCAGCACCGUGGGGUGCCGUGGGCUCCUCCGCCCCGCUCCGACGGCUGCUCGCGGCGCCGCUCGCUCCAGCUGCUCUGAACCCAACAAACGUGGGAACCAACAACCACUCUCAAGUAUUAAAAUCAUUCACAAACUGG
Long non-coding RNA from Colius striatus (speckled mousebird), 1372 nucleotides. RefSeq lists it as uncharacterized. Lineage: Eukaryota; Metazoa; Chordata; Aves; Coliiformes; Coliidae. The transcript has 2 exons. The record is from RefSeq and is a predicted model, not a curated record.